UACGAAGGGGGGCUAGCGUUGCUCGGAAUCACUGGGCGUAAAGCGCACGUAGGCGGCUUUUUAAGUCAGGGGGUGAAAUCCUGGAGCUCAACUCCAGAACUGCCUUUGAUACUGAGAAGCUUGAGUCCGGGAGAGGUGAGUGGAACUGCGAGUGUAGAGGUGAAAUUCGUAGAUAUUCGCAAGAACACCAGUGGCGAAGGCGGCUCACUGGCCCGGUACUGACGCUGAGGCACGAAAGCGUGGGGAGCAAACAGGG
RNAcentral lists this ribosomal RNA (256 nucleotides) under uncultured bacterium. RNAcentral's name for it is "partial 16S ribosomal RNA". It matches the Rfam family "Bacterial small subunit ribosomal RNA", at positions 524 to 777 of the family's 1533-position model. The record is from RNAcentral.